CGAGUGGCGGACGGGUGAGUAAUGCGUAGGAAUUUACCUCAAAGCGGGGGAUAGCCCGGAGAAAUCCGGAUUAAUACCGCAUGUGCUCUACGGAGGAAAGCGGGCCUCUACUUGUAAGCUCGCACUUUGGGAUAAGCCUACGUCGGAUUAGCUUGUUGGUGGGGUAAAAGCCUACCAAGGCGACGAUCCGUAGCUGGUUUGAGAGGAUGAUCAGCCACACUGGGACUGAGACACGGCCCAG
Molecule: ribosomal RNA, 241 nt
Filed under: uncultured bacterium
Lineage: Bacteria
Description: partial 16S ribosomal RNA
Rfam family: Bacterial small subunit ribosomal RNA
Source: RNAcentral